UCACCUCUGGCGCAAUGGCAGCGUGCUACUUUCCGGUUCGCCUUGGAAUUCUUACCUCGGUAGGAGUAACAAGAGAUUCGUGCAUGGUAGAGGCUCUCGGUUCGAGUCCGGGGAGGUGAG
Molecule: non-coding RNA, 120 nt
Organism: Diatrype stigma
Lineage: Eukaryota; Fungi; Ascomycota; Sordariomycetes; Xylariales; Diatrypaceae
Source: the annotation of a GenBank genome assembly